GAUGAACGCUAGCUACAGGCUUAACACAUGCAAGUCGAGGGGCAGCAUGAUUGAAGCUUGCUUCAAUCGAUGGCGACCGGCGCACGGGUGAGUAACACGUAUCCAACCUGCCGAUAACUCGGGGAUAGCCUUUCGAAAGAAAGAUUAAUACCCGAUAGCAUAGUAUUUCCGCAUGGUUUCACUAUUAAAGAACUUCGGUUAUCGAUGGGGAUGCGUUCCAUUAGAUAGUUGGCGGGGUAACGGCCCACCAAGUCAACGAUGGAUAGGGGUUCUGAGAGGAAGGUCCCCCACAUUGGAACUGAGACACGGUCCAA
RNAcentral lists this ribosomal RNA (314 nucleotides) under uncultured bacterium. RNAcentral's name for it is "bacterial SSU rRNA". It matches the Rfam family "Bacterial small subunit ribosomal RNA", at positions 28 to 334 of the family's 1533-position model. The record is from RNAcentral.